Molecule: long non-coding RNA, 6019 nt
Filed under: Brassica napus (rape)
Lineage: Eukaryota; Viridiplantae; Streptophyta; Magnoliopsida; Brassicales; Brassicaceae
Description: long non-coding RNA (BNAP_LNC006018)
Source: RNAcentral
CUUGAUUUUACGUUUCCGCCUAUAAAAACUACAUAUACAUUUUUUUUACUCCAGUCACCAAAUUUUACUCACGGUAACCACAUUUUAUCACGGUAACAAUCAUCAGAGAAGCAGUGGGAUGAUCAUAACCUUGAUCUAAGUCUAGUUGAAUCAAACUCGGAAGAGUUUGGAACCAAAUCUGAGGUAAGUUAAGUUGUUCAUGUUUUUAUAAAUUUAAUGUGUGAAAAAAAGAUAAAUAGUGAUUAUGGUCUAAACUGAUACAUUUUAAAGACUGCGAGCAUGAGAAAUGGAUUUAGAGACGAGGAGAGACUAUUAGGGAGCCAUCUCUCCCUAGCGAUGACGACAACAGCGACUGUCGGAUCAGAGAAGCCAUUGGACGGUGGAGGAAAGCGAGUGGGAAUGGCGGCAUCAUCAGGAUUCUCUCCUCGCUUUCCUCCUUGGAACCACCACACUCCUCGCACCUUCCACUUCUUUCGUCCCUGAUUCACCAUCAUCAUCACAGUCACUCAUACAACAAAUGUUUUGGAGAAACUUUCCAGGAGCUAUUUUUCGGCUGUGUGGUGUGUAUGUAUUACAUAUAUGUUCUUGUGUCCAUGUAAGACUUUUCUUUCUGUAAUUUAAUCAUACAACAAAUGUUCGUGGCCCACAUCCUACAUGGUAUCCCCUGUACAUAUUGGAGACUUCUGUUUCAUCAUUUACCAUCUCAUCACAUGCGCUUAGUAACUUAGUUAGGUUUCGAGUCCGGAUCUAGAGAAUACCAUGCACACAACCCAACCGCAAUUUCAGAAAAUAUUAUACCUAAAUGGGUUUUAACGAAAAAAUGUACAUCCGAAUAAAUUUAGGUUUUCUGAGUGAAGUUGGGUUGGGUUGGGCUGGGUUGUUGACAUGGGCCACCCCUAAUAUCGGGACCAAUUCUUUUUUUUUUUUUGAGGGUCAAACAUUGAUAAUGAGAUCCACGUAUUUUUGUCCAAUAUUAUUCAACAAAAAGUAACAAAUAUGUGAUUUAAAUUUUCUAGCUAAUGGAGUGAAUAUGUUUUAUAAUUGUGAAUCACUGGACAUACAUGUGUCUUGCACUAGCUAGUUUUAUAGUUGUUUGAUAAUUCGACAUGUGUAUUGCACUAAUAGUAUAUAUUUACUAGUAUCACUAUCAAGUUGAUAAACUAAAGAUAAAGUGAUAGCGACAUACGAACCAAUCAUACAGAUUAGCCACCAGUGUUUAAAGUUUAUUGUUAUUACAGUAACAAAGCGCCAGAAAAUAAAAAAAAUAUGAAAAGCAACUCUGAGAGCCACAUAAAAGUCACAAAAACACAAUAAUGUAAGACUAUAAACAUGUUUAUAGGUCUUUUUUUCAUUUAGAAUACGUAUGGGGCUUGUAGAAAUUAACAAUGAUCACCAUAAGAACUACUAGUAGGAAAGAAACUGAGCCUCACGUAACCAAAAGACCUCCAUUAAAUUUAAACCGAUGGAAGAAGAAGAAGAUUUGGUGGUGGUGAUAUCAAGGAGCAUCGUGAUCCCCAGAAACGCCAAGAAAUCGACUUCCUCCAAGAAGAAGAUCCAUCUGCUUCCUUGGGAUCUCUCUCGCCUCCGCUUCGGUUAUCUUCAAAGAGGUCUCCUUUUCUCCAAACCUUAUCCAAAAAUCGACACAGUUCUCUCAAAGUUACAAACUUCACUCUCUCUAGCACUUGACCGUUUCUACCCUUUAGCUGGUCGUCUCGUAAAGGUACAGAACGACGACGACACUGUCUCCUUUUACAUCAACCCCGAUGGCUCAGGCGUGGAGUUCGUUCACGCCUCAGCUACAAACAUCGAGGUCAGUGAUGUCCUUAGAUUAUCUACUUCUCUCAGCUCCUUCUUCCCCGCUACUGGGGUCAAGAACUGUAACGGCGUCUCGAGAUCUCUCCUCAUGGUUCAAGUGACUGAGAUGAAAGAUGGGAUCUUUAUCGGUUUCGGUUACAACUCCACUGUAGCUGACGGAGAUUCGAUCUGGAAGUUUUUAAACGCGUGGUCUGAGAUCUGCUCCAAGGGUUUGGUUCCCGAACCUUGUCAGCGUCGUCUUCAGCUUAAAGGUUGGUUCUUUGAGGAGAUUGAGUACCCGAUUCGGAUCCCAGACCCGGAGGCAAAACCAGCUAGGGUCACAACAGCUUCGAGUGGUUUACAGGAGUUGAUGUUUCAUGUCACAAAGGAGAAUGCUUUGAAACUUGAAGCUAAAGCCAACGAUGAGAAAGUGUCGUCAUUACAAGCGGUGUUAGGACAUUUAUGGUGUUCGAUGGUUAAGCACAGUGGGAUGAGCAGAGAGGAAGAGACUCAUUGCAGGUUACCUAUAGACAUGAGGAGAAGGGUGGAUCCACCGUUGGAAGAAGACUGUUUUGGGAACGUGAGUCAGACCGGGAUAGCGAAAGUCACGGUUGGUGAGCUGAUGGAUAAUGGAUUAGGGUGGGCGGCUGGGAAGAUAAACGAUAUGGAGCGGUCGCAAACGCAUGAAAACGCGGAAGGGAAUGCGGAGAAAUGGGUGAGAGAUGUGAAGAUUCCGGUUUCGGUUGGUAGUAAAGAUUUGGUUGUGACGAGUUCUCACCGGUUUGAUGUGUAUGGAAAUGAUUUCGGUUGGGGUAAACCGGUAGCUGCGAGAGCUGGACCGCCGUAUGUGAGUGGGAGAAUGGUUGUGUUCCAAGGGGUUGAAGAAGGGAGUCUUGAUUUUCAGGCUUGCUUGCUGCCUCAAGUAGUGGAAAAGCUAUCAGAAGAUGUUGAUUUUAAAGAGUUUGUGAGCAUUGUAUUAUGAUGGUUUGAUGACUUGGUUCAACAAUUUGGAUCGAAUUUAAAAUGUGUGUGUGUGUGUGUGUGUGUUUCUUCCUUUUCUGAUUGUUUGUAAUUCAUCAACCUGGUCACAUGAAAUUCUCAGAUGGCCAUAAACAUUUUUAAAAUAAAUUUGAAUAAUUUUUCUUUAGUUUGGAAGUAGCAGCAGCUUAUGUAUACUAGAUCUUUAAAAUUUAUGAAAAACAAAUGUUUCACAGCAGCAUGUCCAUGGAUGAAAACUGAUAAUGGGCCUGCAAUUUAUGACCCAAUACGCAAUCAAACCGGCCCAAUGUAUUAGAACACGUGGUGAAUAUGUGUUUAGGUGAGAACGGGAUUUGGAUAUACACACUGUCACUCACUAGUCACUACUGUAAUCAUACUGCUCCAUCGAAUUACCUCCAGAAGCGAAGACGACAAACAAGACAUGGCAGAUGUUGUUGUGCUCUCUAAAAGCAUAGUUCGACCCGAUGGAUCGGAUUCGGAUCGGGUAAAGAUCCAUCUAACUCCAUGGGAUCUCUUCUUCCUUCGAUCAGACUACCCGCAAAGAGGUCUCCUCUUUCCAAAACCCGACCCGGAAACCGAUAUAAUCUCACAACUCAAAUCCUCUCUUUCGGUUGCGUUGAGUAUCUUCUACCCAUUCGCCGGCAGACUAGUCAAGACCGAGAACGAAAACGACGAAACGGCGUCGUUCCUCGUAGACUGCGAUGGUUCAGGCGUCAAGUUCAUCCACGCUUCAGCUAAAACCGUCUCGCUGAGUGACGUUCUAGAACCGGUCAACGGCAUCGUCCCCGAGUUCUUGAACCGUUUCUUCCCGGCUAACGGAGUCAAGAGCUGCGAAGGGGUCUCUGAGUCGUUGAUCGCGUUCCAAGUAACGGAGUUAAGAGACGGAGUCUUCAUCGCGUUCGGCUAUAACCACAUGGUCGCAGACGGAUCUUCCUUCUGGAGCUUCUUCAACACUUGGUCGGAGAUUUGCUCCACCGGAGUUGACCGGGAUAAAAAGUUCCCGCCUCUGCUUCUCCGCGGCUGGUUUCUCGACGGGAUCGAUCACCCGAUUCGAAUCCCGAUCUCGGAGACGGUGAUACCGUCUCCUCCGGUUGCUUCUUCGUCAUCGUUGCUACGAGAGAAGGUCUUUCGAUUCACGAGAAGAAACAUCUCCGAGCUCAAAUCGAAAGCAAACGGAGAAGUUAGCUUCGAUGAUCGGAGAAUCUCGUCGCUUCAGGCGGUUUCAGCGCAUAUGUGGCGAUCGAUUAUCAAAAACAGUGAUUUGAAUCCGGAGGAAGUGGUUUACUGCAAGUUACUGAUGGAUAUGAGACGGAGACUAAACCCUCCGCUUGAUAAAGAGUGUUUCGGAAACGUCGUCGGAUUCGCGACAGCGACGACAACGGCUGGAGAAAUGGUUAGUAAUGGGCUGGGUUGGGCCGCGUUGCAGAUAUUAUUACAAGAGAGAUAUGUGGAACCUUAACGACUCACCUGAUCACCACGAAGAAUCCGACGGUAGAUGGAAACGGGCUGGAGAUGUACCAAUCUCUAUGAGAUCAUCGACCACGUGUCUGUUGUCUGUUCCUCCGGUGACCCGAAAUUUUUUUCCGAAUCAAAUCAUGGAACAGGAAGUUCCAGGAAUAUCUGGGUCCGGUAUCACUAGAAACCAAUGUCUUGUUCGGUCGGAUCCUAGCGGGUCUGGUCGUCCGGAAAACCUAGAGCUGGAGAUAACACCGCCGGUAAAAAAGAGCCGACGUGGUCCUCGUUCCCGGAGCUCUCAGUAUAGAGGAGUUACUUUUUACCGACGAACCGGAAGAUGGGAGUCACAUAUUUGGUAACUUAAUUUUCUUAACCCUACGAUAUACCGAAUACUAUUAUUGCAUAUAUGGUACAUCCAUCAAAUCCAAGUUUCAUUUCAUUCGGGCCAAUACCUUAUUGUUAUUUUUAAAAUAUGUGUUGGAAUAUUAUGCAGGGACUGCGGGAAGCAAGUGUACUUAGGUAUGAUCAUGUAAUGUUGUUCAAACACAGAUCAAAUAUCCUAUUGAAACUAAGUUGUGUUGUGUCUGUCCAUUUUUAUAUGAUUUCUUCGACCAAAUAAAGGUUUUAUUAUCUCCUUAUAUUACUUUUUGUUACAUAUUCAGGUGGAUUUGACACAGCACAUGCCGCUGCUCGGUAUGUUUUACUCAUCCAAAUAUGAUCAAUUAGAACGAAUCUAAUAUUCCUUAUUUUGUAAUUUGCUGAUAUACAAAUUAAUUUGGGUGGGUAACUGUUUGGGACAGUGCCUACGAUAGAGCCGCAGUUAAGUUUAGAGGUGUAGAUGCAGAUAUAAAUUUCAAUAUUGAAGACUAUGUGGAGGAUUUGAAACAGGUAAAAUAUUUAUUAUUUGUAGGUUCAAGCAAUUGACUUAGAUUAUUACUCGAACAUAAAACAAAUUAAUAUUUGUUGCAGAUGAGCAGUUUGACAAAGGAAGAGUUCAUGCAUGUCAUUAGAAGGCAAAGCACUGGGUUUCCAAGAGGCAGCUCUAAAUAUAGAGGUGUCACUUUGCAUAAAUGUGGAAGAUGGGAAGCUCGAUUGGGUCAAUUUCUCAACAAAAAGUAAAACUACACAAAUAAUAUGGGGUCAUUUUUUUUUUUGAAAUGUUUUGUUUUUCUUAUGGAUAUUUAAAAUUUGGUACUGUAUUGUUUGCUUUUUAUUUAUUUUCAGGUACGUUUAUUUGGGUCUCUUUGAUACCGAGAUGGAAGCUGCAAGGUACUGUUUUAUUAUUGUUCAAUGUCUCAUCAUCACGUUUCCAAAACAAUAGUAUUUAUGUUUGGGCAAAAGAAAAGCAAUAGUAUCUGUUUUGUUUAAUUUCUUCUUCGUGCUUUUUGAAUUAUAGAGCAUACGAUAAAGCAGCAAUAAAGUCUAAUGGAAAAGAUGCAGUUACCAAUUUUGACCCUAAAGUAUAUGAGGAACAGCAUAAUAGCCCAGGUAACUUGAUUUUACGUUUCCGCCUAUAAAAACUACAUAUACAUUUUUUUUACUCCAGUCACCAAAUUUUACUCACGGUAACCACAUUUUAUCACGGUAACAAUCAUCAGAGAAGCAGUGGGAUGAUCAUAACCUUGAUCUAAGUCUAGUUGAAUCAAACUCGGAAGAGUUUGGAACCAAAUCUGAGGUAAGUUAAGUUGUUCAUGUUUUUAUAAAUUUAAUGUGUGAAAAAAAGAUAAAUAGUGAUUAUGGUCUAAACUGAUACAUUUUAAAGACUGCGAGC